GACGAACGCUGGCGGCGUGCUUAACACAUGCAAGUCGAACGGAAAGGCCCUGCUUUUGUGGGGUGCUCGAGUGGCGAACGGGUGAGUAACACGUGAGUAACCUGCCCUUGACUUUGGGAUAACUUCAGGAAACUGGGGCUAAUACCGGAUAGGAGCUCCUGCUGCAUGGUGGGGGUUGGAAAGUUUCGGCGGUUGGGGAUGGACUCGCGGCUUAUCAGCUUGUUGGUGGGGUAGUGGCUUACCAAGGCUUUGACGGGUAGCCGACCUGGGAGGGUGACCGGCCACAUUGGGACUGAGAUACGGCCCAGACUCCUACGGGAGGCAGCAGUGGGGAAUAUUGCACAAUGGGCGGAAGCCUGAUGCAGCAGCGCCGCGUGCGGGAUGACGGCCUUCGGGUUGUAAACCGCUUUCGCCUGUGACGAAGCGUGAGUGACGGUAAUGGGUAAAGAAGCACCGGCUAACUACGUG
This 468-nucleotide ribosomal RNA is filed under the name uncultured bacterium. RNAcentral describes it as "partial 16S ribosomal RNA". It matches the Rfam family "Bacterial small subunit ribosomal RNA", at positions 28 to 507 of the family's 1533-position model. The record is from RNAcentral.